AUGGCCAAGAUCUAUUUGCUAGUGGCAGGAGUGAUGCUCUGCUCCAUCCCUGCUUGUCCUCUGGACAACAAAAAAAUCUUCAUACAUUUGAGACAGAUGAAAACGAUCCCCUCUCAGUCAUGCCUAGACCACAGACAUGACUUCAAGUUUCCUUGGAGAAGAGAGAAUAUCACCCCAAUCCAGAUGACUCAAGGCACCUGUUAUCACCAAUUGAUGCUCCAGCAGACCUUCAACCUCUUCACCACGGAGAGCAGCCGUGCUGCUUGGAACAGUGCCCUCCUCGACAAACUACUCCAGCCUGGGUCAGAGCCUGGAACAGCUGGAAGAAGUGACUCUGGGUUGUCCCGAUUUGGGAAUUGCUGUCCGGAAGUAUUUCCAAGGAAUCCAUCUCUACCUGAAGGAAAAGGAAUACGGCCCCUGUGCCUGGGAGGUUGUCAGAGUGGAAACUGAAAAGUGCCUUUCCCUCAUGUAA
This 472-nucleotide long non-coding RNA is filed under the name Bos taurus (domestic cattle). Its description in RNAcentral is "long non-coding RNA NONBTAT024114". Lineage: Eukaryota; Metazoa; Chordata; Mammalia; Artiodactyla; Bovidae. The record is from RNAcentral.